CCCACCCGCCCCGGGACUGCGCGGGCUCCCGGCCGCCGCCCCAGCGCUGCCCGCCCGGGACAGCCCGGCUCCAGCUCUCUGGGGCGGGGGCGGGGGCUGCCCAAGUGCGGGACCCCCCCCGCGCGCCUCCGGGACCUGGAAUCCCGGCUGCAGAGCCCUGCCCCGGACUCGCUGCCCCCGCCCUUCCUGCGGACGCCCGGGGCAGCCCUGCGGGGGCUCAUCCUUGAAUAGUCGCGGGCGCCGCUCUGCUCCCCUCAGUGCGCACGCAUCCGGAGAUGUGGCGGUGGCGAGACGGCCGUCACCAGCCCGCGCGGGGCGCACGAACGGGGCUGGGGGACACGGACAGGUCAUCCAGCAUCACUGAGCCGGGCGGGGGGUGAUUGUGCUCCGGCUGCGGGACGCGGUGGGAUCACAAAGCUGGGAGCCCAACCUCAUCCUGGGGCGGCCCACCGGGACUCCCAGGGAAAGUGGGGUCUGGUCCAGCUGCGCCCCGAAGGACAAGUGGAAGGCUGGGAAGACGCGGGUGUACAGUGCAGAGACUCCGCGUCUUCGGGGCCCGCGGUGGGGGGGGGGGAGAGGCGCGAAGAUGGGGCUGAUGGCGGUUCAGAGUGGAAGAGAAGGGGGUCAAGGAGACAUAAGGAGGAGCAGCCACAGAAGUGGGGGCGGGGGGGAGCACGGAACGGGUGCAGGAGGCCACAGCAAGGAAGGGAACUGGAAAGGAGGCGCCAAGAGGCGUGUCAGGUGCUGGCCACAGGGCUGGUUGGAUAGAAACUGGGACAAGCCCCGGACAUUUGGCACCCUCGACCUUGAGAACCUUGGGGAGAUGGUUCCAUGGAGAUUGGAGUGAGGAAGCGGAGCGUCCGUGUAGACAGUAUUUUCUAGGAGUUAUGUUAAAGUGAGAAGGUGUAGAUGUUGGAGAGGAAUGUGGAAUGAGGGUAAAGGGCGUUUUAAAGCACCAUGUGUGGUUAGAACACAGGCUCAGGGCUCCCGAGUCCCCACUCACUAUCGGGGAGUCCUUGGGCAUGUCACUGAACCUCUUGGUGCCUCAGUUCCCUUUUCCGUAAAACGGGGAUGAAGAUGACAAUACCUGCCUCAUAGGGUUCACGUGAAGUUUAGUUGAGAUGGUGCCUGUAAAAGCACUUAACGGCACUAAAAGCACCUGUUACUUUUCACUUGUAAUUAUUAGAGCAGCUUGCGAUAUUUUGCUGCUGAUAGGAAGGAGCUGGGAGGCAUUGAAGACAGAGGGGAGGGAAAAGGGAGCAGAGAGAAAGGGACCGAAGAACUUGGAUGGAGAGAGAAAUCUUGGGUUCCUGUGCCAAACCAAGGGAAGGAGGGAGCAGGUGGGGACACAGGGAAGUUUGCAGGUUUGGGGUAUAUGGUUGAGUGGCUUUCUGAUAGUCUUUCUCCGAAGUAGGCCUCAAGGUCGUUUGCUGAGAGGGUGGAGGUCCUGAUUUCCACUGCAGCAGUAGGGUAGGGUGCCAUGCCCUCUUUGCCAGCGACCCCAGGCAGACUCGGCAUCGCUCCCGGGAAAGUGGACAGUUGAAUUUACUAGGGUCAGAGGACAACGUCAGACCUGCCUUGCCCACUUGUGAGGCUCAUCUAAAGUUGAUGGAUUUGAAAACACUAUAUAAGCAUAACUUACCAUUUUAGUCUUUCUUCGUGACCUUGAGGAGCUGGAAGGGCUGUGGCCAUCAUCAAUAUCAAAGUUUUUCGGGCACUUCACUUGGGCCGUGCACCAUGCCAUGCUUUCACCCAUGAUCUCAUUUAGUUAUUACAAGUCAGGUGAAGUAGGUAUUAAUAUUAACCCCAUUUUGCAGAUGCAGAAACUGAGGUGCAGAGAAGUUACUGACCUUGUUCCAGGACCCACAGCUAGUAAGUGAUGGACUCAGGGUCCCAACUCAGAUCUGUCAGACCUCGAAGCCUGUGAUUUGAAACUACUAUGGAAGUUUGCAAAACCCCUAGUAGCAACCCAGCAGAAUAGAAAGAUGUGGAGGGAUCAUCUUUUCCAUUUGGUAGGUGAGAAAACAAAGGCUAGAAGCUCUGACUUCCAUCCUGGGCUCUGUAGGCUCCACCAAGCUGCCUUGUUUUUGCCUCUCUUGAAUGGGAGGAAGAACACAGAGCUUAGAGUCCCACAGACCUGGUGGUCAUCGUGCUGUACCACCAGGUGCUGUGUGACUUUGGACCAGGCAUCUUGCUCCUCUGUGCCUCCACAUGCCUGCGGAAUUCCUAACAGGUUGCUCUAAGGAAUAGGAAGGAAAAUGUUGCCUGGGGCAUGGUAGAUGUGCCAGGAGCCAUGCUUCCCACACAACCAUGGAUCUGCGUCCCACUUGGCUGCUGAGACCAACUCCUCGUGACCUUGUAUUUAUUUAGACCUUUGUUCUCCUCAGGGCCAGGAAGUGGUGGCGCCUGAUCCGAGUCUGUGGCCACCUAUGACUUCCUGAGUGGGGCCGUGGAGGUAGGGCCCUGAGCAGUCCAUGGUCCUGAGGCCUCGGACUUCAGAGGGGAGGGCCAGGUGUCACACAUACUGAUGAAGAACGCCACGGGCAGGGCUGGGCCAUCAGAAGCCUUCCUGCUGGCCUUGGCCACGGGGUCCCAGAAUUUUAGACCCCAGAGAAGUCUUGGAGAUAAUCCUGUUGCAAUUCCUUUUUUUUUUUUUUUUUUUUUUUUAAAUAAACAGAUGGGGUAACCGAGGCCCGCUGUGCAAAAGUGACUUUUACCUAAGAUACUCUGGACAGGGCAGAGCUAAUAUGCACGGAACUUGCAUUUUGGGACCUGACUCCAGAACCCUGGGGAUUUCCAGUGGGGCAGUGAACACCCACACCGAGUAUCCUAGGCUGCUCGGAGGUUCCAGGGAACAUAGACAAGUCACCGACUGGGGCUCUCUCUGCUCCUGUCCCCUGGGGAGGAAGUGGAGGAAGCCAGUGGCAGCCUGAGGUCCUCCGACUGGGGAAACUCUAACUGUGGUUCCUGAAAGUCCGUGACACGGUUCUUUUUUCUCUCUGACUUGCUUUCCCCUCCCUCUUGCUCAAAAGAAUGACUGGACACUCCUAGAGCCUGCAGUCACCAUCCAGGGGAUUUUUUUCACCACAAAGGGUAAUUCCUGUCUCACCCCUGCUGUGACUCAGCUGUGACGUUGAACCGCACAAGCCAGCGAGAAGAUAAAAUCAUCAGACUCCUGCACAUCAGAGAGGGUGGCCCGGCCAGCACUCACCUCUUCUCCCAGCACAGACUCCACGGAGCUGGUCCCCUCCCCAGAGGAGCUUGAACAGGGGCCCCCCACCAGCCAGCCUGGGACCCUGAGAUGGCCUCUGGCUCGGCCAGCAGCCGCCACCCGGCCCCCGAUGAGAACGAGUUCCCCUUUGGGUGCCCCCCCACCGUCUGCCAGGACCCACCAGAGCCCAGGCCCCUCUGCUGCGCCGUCUGUCUCUCUGAGAACGUGAGGAAUGGUGAGGAUCGGAUCUGUCCCAAAUGCAAAGGGGAUGACACACCAUCUGAAAGGCCAGGAAGCCUUCUGUCUCAGGAGCAGGAUCACCCCGAGGUGGCUGAGGCUGGAGUUGGGUGUCCCUUUGCAGGUGUUGGCUGCGCCUUCAAGGGGGGCCCAAAGUUCAUGCAGGAGCAUGAGGUCACCUCCCAGGCUACCCACCUGAACCUGCUGUUAGGGUUCAUGAAACAGUGGAAGGCCCAGCUGGGCUCUGGCCUGGGGUCUGGACCCAUGGCCCUGGAGCAGAAUCUGUCAGACCUGCAGCUGCAGGGGGCUGUGGAGACAGCUGGGGACCUAGAGGUGGACUGCUACCGGGCCCCCUGCUCCGAGAGCCAGGAGGAGCUGGCCCUGCAGCACUUCAUGAAGGAGAAGCUCCUGACUGAGCUGGAGGGGAAGCUGUGCGUGUUUGAGAACAUUGUCGCCGUCCUCAACAAGGAGGUGGAGGCCUCCCACCUGGCCCUGGCCGCCUCCAUCCACCAGAGCCGGCUGGGCCGUGAGCACAUCCUGAGCUUGGAACGGAGGGUGAUGGAGCUGCAGCAGACCUUGGCCCAGAAAGACCAGGCCCUGGGCAAGCUGGAGCAGAGCUUCCGCCUCAUGGAAGAGGCCUCCUACGACGGCACGUUCCUAUGGAAGGUCACCAGUGUCACCAGGCGGUGCCAUGAGUCAGCCUGCGGCAGGACCGUCAGCCUCUUCUCCCCAGCUUUCUACACUGCCAAGUACGGAUACAAGUUGUGCCUGCGGCUCUACCUGAAUGGGGACGGGACGGGGAAGAGGACCCACCUGUCCCUCUUCAUCGUGAUCAUGAGAGGGGAGUAUGAUGCUCUGCUGCCGUGGCCUUUCCGGAACAAGCCCUUGUUAAUAGGUGAAGCCAAGGAAACUAAGAAGAGGGAGAUAAUGUGUUCAAGCCCAAUCUGAAUCAGUGGUGGAAUCAGGAUUCACACUUUCGAUGUGAUUCACAGUCAGAUGGAGAAACUGAGGCACCAAGAGGAUCAGCCUGUCUGAGGUCAUGUGACUGCAGGGCUCCUGGACUCUUCUCUGCCUUUCAUCUGGUGUCUGGGCACGGCUCCCGGAGAUCUCAGGAGAGGAUUUGCUCUGUGGGUCUGAAAGAGACCGUGGGUCCAGAAGCCAGUGGGCGGGACGCUGUGCCCACCUGCGCCUGGGAGAGUGAUGCUUCCUGUGCUUUCAAGCAGCUGUACCCCAGUGGAGCAGACAGGACCCACUUCCCCUUCCUGACCCCUGCUCCCCUACUGAGCUCCAGAGCAGAGACUUGCUAAGCCUCAGUUCCUACUUCUGCAUGAAGGUGAAAAUCCUAGCCUCACAGUGUUGCUAUGAGGAUGCCAAGGUUGUGGAAACCACUAGUUUUGGACACUGUGGGGUCCCAGUCUAAUAAUAACAGAAACAAGGGUCCCAAACAGUCAUGGAGUGCCGAGCCUACCGGUAGACACUGAGCUGAGGGCUCCCAGGCAUCAUUGCAUGAAACUUGCAUAAAAACCCCAAGAGGAGGUGUGAUGAUUAUCACCCCUAUUUUAUAGAGGAGGAAACCCAGGCUCUGAGAGGUAAAAAUCACCCACCCAAGGUCACACAAGUGCCGGGAGCCAGGACUUGGACCCAGAUCAGUCCAUGCCAGAUUCAAACCCUUAGCCCAUGACGUGAUCAGCAUAAGGUGGAAAUGGUACAGAAAAAGGUGAGGUCGGUUUUAGGUCUGCGCAGACUGCAGGUUCAUUUUUAAACAAGCAUAACGAUGAGAACGACAGCUUACUGAGCACCUACUUUACUUGCAUUACCUGCAAGUACCACCCUUAAUAUUGAUAACUGACCUAGGAGGAAGGCACUGUUGUCCUCACUUUAUAGAUGAAGAAACAAGCUCAGAGAGGCCAGGCAACUUCCCCAAGGUUACACAGCUAGUAGGCAGGUCUCUGCCUCCACAGUGAGAGGUUUUACCCAUGGUGGUGUCCUCUCCAGUGCUUUGGGGAGCAGGAGAGGGUCAGAUGGAUGUGAUGUCCCUUCUGGACCAGCCACCAGCCCUUCUUCUCCAGGGGAGAUGGGCCUGCCUGGAGCACUCCACCUGGCGGGACCUCUUGGGUAGGAUUGACACCGGCCACGGGGAAGGGGAAGGACGAAAUCAGGGGAGCUGCUGGGGGGCCACUGAGCCUUUGCCAGGAGCUGGAUCUCAUUUGCUGCCUUGGCAUCUGGGACUUGCGUUCGUUUAAGCAAAGCACAUCCAUGUGGCACAGAGUUUGGGGACCAUUCCAGAGAGGCUGGGAUAUUACAGUCAUCUGGCUGAUGACAUUUCUUCCUUUUCAGGUCCUUUCCUCAACUCCCACCUGUCUCAAGGCAUUUCCUCCGAAGAAAAUCCGGGGUGUAUGGUGCAAAUGUCAUCAUAGCUGUCCCAGCCAAUCCUGGUAAGGCAGGGAGGUGAGGGUCACCCAGCAGGUCAGUGGCUCGGCUAUGGUGGCCUGUGAUUCCCCUCUGGUGGGAGGAGGUCAGCUGAGCCAUCGUCCCUCCCCGCCUGUUGCUCUCACCCUCCUGCCGCUCUCACCCUCCUGCCGCCCUCUGGGCAGUUGGAUCCAUUCUUCCAGCAGUAGGGCCCCUGUUCUCUUUGUACAGAUGAAAAGCAGGAGCUCAGAGAAGAGCAACUCCCUUGGGGCAGCCAGGUGCCUAGAGGCAGAGCCUCCUAGGACCUGGGUCUGCUGCUACACACCCCUGCCCUUGGGCUGUACCCACUAACUUGUCGAUUUCAAUAUUGAAGGUUCUCUCUAUGGAAACAACUGAUUUCUAUCCCCGCUCCCUCUCACAAGCACAGCUCCAUCUGGGGAGAAAUCCCAGGGCCGGCAAUGGAGUGGAAUCCACCUGGGACACGGGUGUCUGGGACUGGGGGGGUGGGAGAAAAGCUCCUCUCUGCUGCUACUGUGCCCCCUGCGGAGCUGCCUGCCCCUCGGAUGUCUCCUGGGGGCGGGGUGGGGGUAUGAGUGCACUCCCAACCCCCUAGACCAUUGAGUGUCCGGUGUUAAGCCUGCCAGGGACUCUGUACUCUUGCUGUGGGACCUUGGGCCAGUCACCUGCCAUCUCUGAACUCACGUUCCCAGGACUUCCCUGGCGGUCCAGUGGUUAAGACUCCGCACUCCCAAUGCAGGGGGCACGGGUUCGAUCCCUGGUCAGGGAAGAUCCCACAUGCUGCAUGGUGUGGCAAAACAACAACAACAAAAAAAAAAAAACACAAAGGCAAAUCUGAGCUCACAUUCCCAUCUGCAUAGUGGACAGGUGGGUGGGGACAGAUACAGUGCUGACCAUGUGGGAUUCUGGGCGCAAAGAGUCAGACCGAAGGAGGCCCUCUUCCCCACGGCACGUGAGCAGCAUGCCCUGGUCAGGGCAUGCAGAUCACUUCAGACUGUCUCCCCGCAGCCUCUCACUUGCAUUUGGUCAAGAGCAGGUGUUGGAGUCCAAUAGUCCAGUUCAAGUCCCAGCUCUGUCACUUAGUAGCUGUGUGUCCUUGGGCAAGUUCUUUAACUUCUCUGUGCCUCCAUUUCCCCAAGUGUUAAAAGGUGAUGAUAAAUUCCUACCUUGUAGGGAUGUGUGGGAAGGAAGCAAGCCAACACCUGGCAGGAACUUCGAUGGAGCCCCUGGUGUGAGCGGCAUGUAGUAUUCCUGCUACAAUUACUACCAAGGUCUUAACCCUCAAGCUCCAGCCCACUGAGGAGCCGUGAGUCAAGGCCAUACAGCUCUCUUCCCACUAGCCCUGGCUCUGUCUCCCGAUCGCUGAUCCACCAGAGGCCAGCUCCUUACCCUUGUGGGGCCUCAGUGACCUCAUGUAGAAAAUGACACUUGGACUUCACUCUGGGUCGCGAGACACAGCACAGAGCUGACACUUAGGAGACAAUCACGAACAGAUCUUCCACAGGCUGGGUGCUGUGCACCUCUGACGGUGUUUCUGCAAAGCCCAGCAUCAUCAGGACUUGAGGGGGAGGGAACGUGCACCCCUUCCUCCCUCUGGCAUGGAACCUGCCUAAACUGUGUGUUGGGUUGUUAAGAUCCAGAGAGUUCCUUUUUUCAUUGCAGUCAGGUGUUUUCAGAGCCUCACCACUCACUGACGCCGGCAUCAGUUCCUUCCGGCCCAGAGGCCUCUUUGCGGCUCCGCAGGACAGCCCUGCCCUCUGCCCAAGGUCCAGGGUGGAGCUGGAAGGCUGGCAGGGGGGUAGAGCCUGACACAGAUGGAGGCCACCCUGCGUUCCUGCUCUACUCCUGACUCUCGCCCUGGCUUCCGCCAGCCCGCCAGCCCUGCCCACCGGUGCAGAGCAAUACUGUCCAGUUCAGCAGCCGCUGACACGCGGGGCUGUAAAGUGUGUGGCCAGCUGAAUAACGCUCUCCAAAGAUGUCUACACCCUAAUCCUCGGAUCUAUGGGGAGAGCAAAUCAGAGAAGAGAAGGGACCCACCCCUGGUUCUAUAGCAAGCUUGCAGGGAGGGUCAACAGGAUCUCCUACAUCCCAAUGGAGGCGCUCCUGGGCUCCCAAAGAGGACAGACACUUGAUGUCUCUCCUUUCCCCACAAAAGCCACAGCAAAAAUAGAAGAGGGCCGCAGAUGGAAGAAGAUGGAUUCUUGCAAGGUGGGAGACCUUCUCUCGACAUUCCUUGGCCUUUGCUGGUCUCCCCUGAGACACAGCUGAGAAUCUGAUGCCUGCCAUGCCUGGUUCACCAUGCUGUGACAAGUCUCAGGGAACAGACAUGUUAGGACACCGUGAGGUCUGAUGGCCCUGCAUAUGUGACAGGUUAGUGCUGUGACUAAACCUCCUCUGCUGUAAUCUCCCAGCCCCCGCCCCCCAUCUUUAAAAUUACCAAGUAUUUCAAACAUACAGAGAAUAGAGAAAACGUUUUGGACUUGAGAAGGAGAAGGAUCAUUGCGAAGAAUUACAGACAAGACACCCAGCUUUGCCAAAUCUCGACACCUUGCCAUAUUUGCUUCAGAUUUUUUUUUCUGAAAAAUAGGACAUUACAGAUAAAAUUAAAUCCCCUGUGUUCCUCUUUCUGAUCUCAUUCCCAUCCCUCCCUUCCCAGAGGUAACUACUAUUCUAAAUUUAGUGUCUUUGAUUUCUUAUGCAUGUUUUCACACUUUCACUAUCUGACUGUAUCCCUAAAACUACAUAUAUAGCAUAGUUUUGAAUUAAAAAAAAAACUUUUGGUAUCACACUAUUCUACCACUUGAUGUUCCCUUUUUCUUUUUUUUUUCUAGACUCUAUCUAUGUUGAGGCUACAGCCUCAUUUUAUUUUCCCUCCCAGUAUAUUAUUCCAUUGCACAGAUAGAUCACAAUUUAUCUAUCUGCACUGCUGUUGAUGGACAAUUAAUCAAUUCCUCAUUUUUCAUAAUUAUGUGCUGAGUGAGUGAAGUCACUGAAUUGUAGGCACGAGCAUCUUCAACUUUAUUAGAUGUUGCCAAACCUCUUCUUCAGAGAAGUUGUACCAAUUUACACCUCCAUCAAGACUGUACAAGGGUUCCAAGGGUGCCACCUCUUCACCCCCUCCACCCUUCUCCCAACAUUGAUAGAAUGCUUACUCCUUGCCAGUCCGGAGGAUGUGAAAUGGCGUCUCACAGCUCUUUUCAUUUGCAUCUCUCCCAUGACCCGUGAGGUUGAACAUCUCUUUACAUUUUUGGCCACCUAGGUUUCCUCUUUUGUGAAUUGCCUGUUGAUGGUCUUAACCCAUUUCUUAAAAAAAUGAUUGUCCUUCUCUGGUUUGUCCAUGCUUUCAACCUACUUCUGCCAGAUCGCAAAGCAAACUCGGAUCAUGGCCCUUCUCAGUUCUCAACUCCCCGAGGCUCUCUAGGAUACACAUAACUUACAACCUUGCUCAGUGGUCCUGAUUUGCCGUGGGCUGAAAACAAAGCUCAGCCCAGGACACUCAGCCCCACCUUCUCCUCCAGCCUUACCGUCUGCACCCUGAACUCCGGUCCAGCGGACACAACUCACUCCGUCCCAGGCCUACUGCACACACCAUGCCCUAGGCCUGGAAUGCCUCCCUCCUAUCUCCACAUUUCCUCUGAAUGCCACCUUUUCUGUGACAGUUCUCAAUUCAAAGUUGGAUUUGCCUCUAAACGGUCAGGUGAAACUAUACCUUUCUAGUGGCAUUUAUCAUUUCUCCUUUUGUAGUAUUUUAACCACUCCUCAUCUUGCCCAUCACUUUUUCAUUGACAAAAACACCCGCCCCUGCAUUAUGCUAUUUUGUCCUCAUCUCUGCAAUGGCCCUGUGAAUUGGGGUAGUACCCCUACCCUCUCUGAACAGAUAGGGAACGUGGCCUACAGGGGGAAUAGUUCACCCAACAUCUUACUCUGGCUCAGAGGCAGAGGUGGACUUGAAGCCAGGACUCCUCCAAUUCCAUGUCCAGCUUGCUGCAUCACGCCCCUCAUAUUUAUAUAUGCAUGUUGUUGCUGCUUGAGCCAACACCUGACUCCCCCAUGAGACUGUGGGCCCCAUAGCUCCCAGUUCUAGUCCUACCCAGGGGGGCACUCAAUGAAUAUAUAAUUUCUUGACAAAGUACGAUAAUCACUUACUGCAUACCCACUGGCUGCCGGGGGCUUUGCAUACAUUCACCCUAACCUUCCCAACAACUCUAUGAGGAGACUGGGGUUUAAGAGUUGAAGUGCUAUGCUCAGGGUCCCACGGCCGGUAAUCAGUGCAGUUGGCCUAUGAGACCCAGAGGUAAGUGCUUCCAACCGUAAUCUCUGCUCUGUGCAUCCUAAAGGUAGACCCAGCCAGCCAGAGAGAUCGCACCCCAAGGCCCAGAGGCAGGGGGCCAAGGGUGGGCAACUUGACAGUCAACAGGAGGGACUGGGGGCUGGGGGAGUAUGGUCCACCCGCUACACCCAUGAUGUCCACACUCCACAGCCUCACGGGUGUCUGUGCAGUGUGAUGGUAGCAGGUGAGAAGAGGGCUGAGGGAUAAGGAGAGGGGUUGGCAAGUAUUCUCCAGCCCCCAACCCCCAAAGAGUAAGUCUGGAUGGGGACAUUGCUACCCAUUCUCCCCAGGGCAAGGACUGGAUAUGACGGGAGCCACGCCCCUUUCCUCAAUCUGCUAUUCCUAUGACUCUGUAUGCUGUCUUUCACUGUGUGCCACUUAUUUAAAUGUUGUGUUUGUGUGUGUGGUAUGUAUUUGCAACUGUAUCUUUGUGUUGUGUUUCGGUGCAUUACGUCUGUGUGCAAUUUGCUGUUGGUGUACUCUGUUUCUCUUGUGCGCCUGUUACGGCUCUAUGCCUGUUUGUCUACUUUAUGUGUAUGUUUUGUUGUGUGUCCGUGCUGUGUACACGGUGUGUCUCUCCUAUGUAUCUAUGUCCAUACUCUGUAAUGGCCUCUUUAUUGUGUGUUGUGUCGUGUGUAUCAUGUGUUGUGAAUUUGUGUUUGUGCCGUGCGCAUUGUGGAUCUGUUUCUGUGUGUGCUCUCUACACCGCAAGUGCAGGAUGUUUGUGUGUUCUGUUGUGCGAAUCCCGUUUGGGUUGUUCUAGGUCUGUGUCUACGCAGUGAGUCCGUGUGUAUCUGCACCUCCCCGCUGUGUGUCUGUGCCAGCUGACAUCUGUGCCCUGCGCGCAGAGUUGUGUUUCCUCAACAAGUGUGUGCCGGCUCGGAGUGCCGCGCGCGCCUCCUCGUGUGCCCGCGUUGUGCCUGCGCCUCCGCCGGGCGGUCGUGCCGGGGUGCAGGCUCCGCGUCCGUGUGCGCUCGCGCCGCUUGUCUGCGUCC
Molecule: RNA transcript, 11200 nt
Organism: Orcinus orca (killer whale)
Lineage: Eukaryota; Metazoa; Chordata; Mammalia; Artiodactyla; Delphinidae
Gene: TRAF1
Gene name: TNF receptor associated factor 1
Exons: 11
Source: RefSeq, a predicted model, not a curated record